RNAcentral lists this ribosomal RNA (497 nucleotides) under uncultured bacterium. Its description in RNAcentral is "partial 16S ribosomal RNA". It matches the Rfam family "Bacterial small subunit ribosomal RNA", at positions 28 to 507 of the family's 1533-position model. The record is from RNAcentral.
GAUGAACGCUGGCGGCGUGCCUAAUACAUGCAAGUCGAGCGAACAGACGAGGAUCUUGCUCCUUUGACGUUAGCGGCGGACGUGUGAGUAACACGUAGGUACCCUACCUAUAAGACUGGGAUAACUUCGGGAAACCGGAGCUAAUACCGGAUAAUCUUUCGAACCGCAUGGUUCGAUAGUGAAAGAUGGCUUUGCUGUCACUUAUAGAUGGACCUGCGCCGUAUUAGCUAGUUGGUAAGGUAACGGCUUACCAAGGCAACGAUACGUAGCCGACCUGAGAGGGUGAUCGGCCACACGGGAACUGAGACAGGGUCCAGACUCCUACGGGAGGAAGCAGUAGGGAAUCUUCCGCAAUGGGCGAAAGCCUGACGGAGCAACGCCGCGUGAGUGAUGAAGGUCUUCGGAUCGUAAAGCUCUGUUAUUAGGGAAGAACAAACGUGUAAGUAACUGUGCACGUCUUGACGGUACCUAAUCAGAAAGCCACGGCUAACUACGUG